This 253-nucleotide ribosomal RNA is filed under the name uncultured bacterium. Its description in RNAcentral is "partial 16S ribosomal RNA". It matches the Rfam family "Bacterial small subunit ribosomal RNA", at positions 524 to 776 of the family's 1533-position model. The record is from RNAcentral.
UACGUAGGCAGCGAGCGUUGUUCGGCGUUACUGGGCGUAAAGGGUGUGUAGGCGGUUCUUUUAGUUUGGUGUGAAAUCUCCCGGCUCAACUGGGAGGGUGCGCCGAAUACUGAGGGACUAGAGUGCGGGAGAGGAAAGUGGAAUUCCUGGUGUAGCGGUGAAAUGCGUAGAUAUCAGGAGGAACACCGGUGGUGUAGACGGCUUUCUGGACCGUAACUGACGCUGAGACACGAAAGCGUGGGUAGCAAACAGG